Molecule: ribosomal RNA, 510 nt
Filed under: uncultured soil bacterium
Lineage: Bacteria
Description: bacterial SSU rRNA
Rfam family: Bacterial small subunit ribosomal RNA
Source: RNAcentral
AGGACGAACGCUGGCGGCGCGCUUAACACGUGCAAGUCGUACGGGGUCACCCUUUCGGGGGUGGCUUAGUGGCGAACGGGUGCGUAACACGUGAGCAACCUGCCUGCCGGUGGGGGAUAACCCGGGGAAACCCGGGCUAAUACCGCAUUCGCUCAUCUCUUCGAUUGAGGGGGUGAGGAAAGGUGCUGCAAGGCACUGCCGGCAGAGGGGCUCGCGGCGUAUCAGCUAGCUGGUGAGGUAACGGCUCACCAGGGCAACGACGCGUAGCCGAUCUGAGAGGAUGAUCGGCCACAUUGGGACUGAGAUACGGCCCAGACUCCUACGGGAGGCAGCAGUGGGGAAUCUUGCGCAAUGGGCGAAAGCCUGACGCAGCGACGCCGCGUGGGGGAGGAAGGCUUUUUCGGAGUGUAAACCUCUGUCAGGGGGAAGAAGUGGGCGGGGAAGGAAAGUGCCCUCGUUUUUGACGGUACCUCCAAAGGAAGCACCGGCUAACUCUGUGCCAGCAGCCGC